UGCGUAGGUGGCAGUGCAAGUCAGAUGUGAAAGGCCGGGGCUCAACCCCGGAGCUGCAUUUGAAACUGCAUAGCUAGAGUACAGGAGAGGCAGGCGGAAUUCCUAGUGUAGCGGUGAAAUGCGUAGAUAUUAGGAGGAACACCAGUGGCGAAGGCGGGUCUCUGGGCAGUAACUGACGCUGAGGAGCGAAAGCGUGGGGAGCGAACA
RNAcentral lists this ribosomal RNA (207 nucleotides) under uncultured bacterium. RNAcentral describes it as "partial 16S ribosomal RNA". It matches the Rfam family "Bacterial small subunit ribosomal RNA", at positions 568 to 774 of the family's 1533-position model. The record is from RNAcentral.